GUUGUAGGCCUUUUCACCGAGGGAAAGGGUGCAGACACAAACAGAGAGAGAUCACGUUACGUUUCAUGACGGCCAGCAGCAGCGGUUUGUACAACAGUGGCCUCUGGUGGUGAGGUGGAGGCGGUGCAGCAGGAUGAGGAUGGCUUGUUUUUACACUGACUGAGAACCUGCUGCAUCUUCUCCUGGAUUUCGUGCACCCUCUUGGCCCAC
Girardinichthys multiradiatus is the source of this 210-nucleotide long non-coding RNA. RefSeq lists it as uncharacterized. The transcript has 2 exons. The record is from RefSeq and is a predicted model, not a curated record. Lineage: Eukaryota; Metazoa; Chordata; Actinopteri; Cyprinodontiformes; Goodeidae.